Trachemys scripta elegans is the source of this 487-nucleotide long non-coding RNA. RefSeq lists it as uncharacterized. The transcript has 3 exons. NCBI's taxonomy places the organism in Eukaryota, Metazoa, Chordata, Testudines, Emydidae. The record is from RefSeq and is a predicted model, not a curated record.
GAGCAAGCACUGGGAUAAAAGCUAAUGACAGGCUGCUUAUUUAGAAGGAUCAUAAUACAGAACAGCCAUGUAGGCAACCAAAGAGGAUCCAAGAGACGGAAUAUGAAGGAAAAAGAGGAAGAAAAAGUCACUGUCUGUGCAUUGACAAGAUGUGGAGAAAAGUGUGGAGAAGAAGAAAAUGCUGAGAGAGUAAUUUUGAUCCAAAGGACAAAGGGCGAAAGGAAGGAAAGGAGAAUUUGGUUGGAAAACACAAAGAAUCGAUGGGAGCAGGAAAACUGCAUCAGCAACUCAGCUAGCAAACAAUUGUCAGUAUUAUGGUGAACUGUAUUCUGAAUGGCCAUCUGCCCUCUGGCAGGCUGCAAGUGUUAUGAGCAUAUUGAAGGCAACGCGGUCAAUUUUAUUCUCCCCAGGACCCAAAAGGAAGAGGGAUUCGGAGAUUCACAAGUUCACAGAUUCCCAGGCCAGAAGGUACCAACAGACUGACCUU